UUCGAUUUCUCUUUUUUUCUGAUUGUUCAUCCUGAAAUUUGCGUUUGUUUUCCUUCACUAAAUCCUAUUUAUCUUCUAAUAUGAUUCUCGUCUCCUUAAUUUCGGCGUCUGCGUCUCCGUCUCCGGUCGAGUUGAAUCAUCUAGAAGCUGUUUCGAUUUCGGCAAAGCUAUUUGAUCUUUGAGAAAAGGAUUGUCGGUCAUUUAGUUGAACGUGUGUUUCUCGACCAAGAACGCAAAAAUGGAGUAAGUUUUCGGAAUUUAAUUCUUUUCAAGCAUUAGAUUUUGCAGGAGGAUUUGUCUUUGGAUGAUGAUGAAAAACAUAUUGAAUAAAAUACGUUCCAUCGUAA
Arabidopsis lyrata subsp. lyrata is the source of this 347-nucleotide long non-coding RNA. RefSeq lists it as uncharacterized. NCBI's taxonomy places the organism in Eukaryota, Viridiplantae, Streptophyta, Magnoliopsida, Brassicales, Brassicaceae. The record is from RefSeq and is a predicted model, not a curated record. The transcript has 2 exons.